RNAcentral lists this ribosomal RNA (253 nucleotides) under uncultured bacterium. RNAcentral's name for it is "partial 16S ribosomal RNA". It matches the Rfam family "Bacterial small subunit ribosomal RNA", at positions 524 to 776 of the family's 1533-position model. The record is from RNAcentral.
GACGGGGGGUCCUAGCGUUGUUCGGAAUCAUUGGGCGUAAAGGGGGCGUAGGUGGCUAUGCAAGUCAGGAGUGAAAGCCCUGGGCUUAACCCAGGAAGUGCUUUUGAAACUGCAUAGCUUGAGUGUGGGAGAGGAUAGUGGAAUUCCUGGUGUAGUGGUGAAAUACGUAGAUAUCAGGAGGAACACCGGUGGCGAAGGCGGCUAUCUGGCCCAACACUGACACUGAGUCCCUAAAGCGUGGGGAUCAAACAGG